ACAGUACGGCUCUGAGAGAGGGCCCGAGAUGGGUACUGAACCGGACCCAGCCCUAUGGGCGCAGCAGGCGAGAACCUUUGCAAUGUGCGAAAGCACGACAAGGUUAAUCCGAGUGUCUCCUGCUAAAGGAGUCUUUUGUCAGUUGUAGAAUCACUGGUGAAUAAGGGGUGGGCAAGUUCUGGUGUCAGCCGCCGCGGUAAAACCAGCACCUCGAGUGGUCAGGAGGUUUAUUGGGCCUAAAGCAUCCGUAGCCGGUUGCAUAAGUUUUCGGUUAAAUCUAUGCGCUUAACGUAUAGGCCGCCGAAAAUACUGUGCAAUUAGGGAGUGGGAGAGGUACACGGUACUCGAUAGGAAGGGGUAAAAUCCUUUGAUCUAUUGAAGACCACCUGUGGCGAACGCGGUGUACCAGAACACGUUCGACGGUGAGGGAUGAAAGCUGGGGGAGCAAACCGGAUUAGAUACCCGGGUAGUCCCAGCUGUAAACGAUGCAGACUCGGUGAUGCAUUGGCUUGUGGCCAAUGCAGUGCCGCAGGGAAGCCGUUAAGUCUGCCGCCUGGGAAGUACGUACGCAAGUAUGAAACUAAAGGAAUUGGCGGGGGAGCACCACAAGGGGUGAAGCUGCGGUUCAAUUGGAUUCACG
This 640-nucleotide ribosomal RNA is filed under the name uncultured archaeon. Its description in RNAcentral is "bacterial SSU rRNA". It matches the Rfam family "Archaeal small subunit ribosomal RNA", at positions 264 to 916 of the family's 1478-position model. The record is from RNAcentral.